AACAUAACCAUGGGUCAUAGAAGAAGCAUAAAAGGGACAGUGUUAGAGGGUCCUUACCCCUCACAUUCUUCCUUCAUUUUUGUAUAGUGGCACAAGGAAGAAGACCAUAGAAGCUUUCUCCAAAGGAAUACAAGAUUGACCUUUGGCAAACCGGCAAGUCAUAAAAAGGCAAUAGACUCCAUUAUAUGGGCUAU
Non-coding RNA from Lupinus albus (white lupine), 194 nucleotides. Lineage: Eukaryota; Viridiplantae; Streptophyta; Magnoliopsida; Fabales; Fabaceae. The record is from the annotation of a GenBank genome assembly.